This 277-nucleotide ribosomal RNA is filed under the name uncultured bacterium. Its description in RNAcentral is "partial 16S ribosomal RNA". It matches the Rfam family "Bacterial small subunit ribosomal RNA", at positions 29 to 334 of the family's 1533-position model. The record is from RNAcentral.
AAUGAACGCUGGCGGCAGGCCUAACACAUGCAAGUCGAACGGAUCCUUCGGGAUUAGUGGCGGACGGGUGAGUAACGCGUGGGAACAUACCCAAAGGUACGGAAUAGCCUCGGGAAACUGGGAGUAAUACCGUAUGUGCCCUUCGGGGAAAGAUUUAUCGCCUUUGGAUUGGCCCGCGUUGGAUUAGGUAGUUGGUGGGGUAAUGGCCUACCAAGCCGACGAUCCAUAGCUGGUUUGAGAGGAUGAUCAGCCACACUGGGACUGAGACACGGCCCAG